Long non-coding RNA from Phyllopteryx taeniolatus (common seadragon), 1411 nucleotides. RefSeq lists it as uncharacterized. Lineage: Eukaryota; Metazoa; Chordata; Actinopteri; Syngnathiformes; Syngnathidae. The record is from RefSeq and is a predicted model, not a curated record. The transcript is spliced from 3 exons.
UCUACGUUGAUUGGGAUGUACGAAGGAAAUGUGCUUGAUUCAUACAUCUGGAUAUAUUUGUGCUUACGACGUUUUCUGGAUUUGAGCGUACGCCGUGUUUCAGUAGAAAAUCCACGCAAGUCUUUGUACAUGAGGCCCCAGAUGUUUUUCGGUCCUAGUCCAAUGCAAGAGAUAUUGCAGAGUCGGGACGUGCCAUUCCAGCGCCCGUUUAACGGGUUUAAAAAGACAUUCUACUAGCCAUUUGUGUCAGUCAACUUCAUUUCUGGUCUCCGGGCCCUCCUUCUGCCUCUCUCUGUGUUUUCGUUGGGCCAUUGUGGAGCCGAGUUGAGCUACAGUACGUGCAGAGUUUGAAAAUUUGCGGCAGAGACCUUAAGUAACUCAGUAAAGUCUCUUAAAGGAGCACCUUUUGAGAGAAGAACGUACCAGAAGAAGCUCAACAUUGAAGAACAUGGAGCCGACCAGCCGAACAUAAAAAUCAAGCAGAAGUCAAAAGACAGGAAGAGGAUACACGAGGUCUUUUUCUAGAAGCUGGUUUACCAACAGGCCCUGAGUAACGGCAAGCAGCGAGACGAAUGCUCUGUUUUCUUCAAUGUCAGGAUGUGAUUCUGCAUGGACAAGAACAGCUCUGAACCCUUCUUCAACCAUGAGUGGACCAAAGAAAAGAAAAGUCGACGGGAGUACCAGACAAACCAAAUGCUGCUUCACCAAGGACAUGAAUAUUAUUUGCUUCCGUGUAGCAAGCAACUGGAGCCUCUCGAAAAUGUGAGCCCCUGGAAUUAGCAAUGACAGAUCGGAGGUACCGGCACAGACACAUGAGCAGAUGCGAGGGGGAGGACGGAGGGACGAGGGGACUGCCGGACAGAUGGAAGGACGUUGAUGGAUCCCGACAGCCAGUGAGCCAGGAUACCACAGCGUUUUGGCCUCCAGCCUGAAUCAACAGAGUGAGCUGACGGCUAUAUCUGCCCGCCUUUAUUAACAUGGAGAGGCGUGAACACACACCUGGCCACACACACACACACACACACACACACACACACGUCGCGGUAAUGUCGCGGCCAAGACGGGAGAAAGUUUGUUCGGCAGCAGGCGUGUAUGAGCUCCGGGAUUCCAGGUGCAUCAUUCAUUUUAUCCCCCAGCAGAUUAUUUAAAAGACAACCUGCAGCAUUCUCCAACACACACACACACACACACAUGCACGCGCACGCACACACACACACACACACACACACACGACUGAUUGUGAAGGCAGAAAUGUUAAUGAUGUAAACAGCUCAAAGCGAGGAAAGAAGAACAGCCUCAUUCAUUCACUCGUGUUUUGAUUCUUGUUGGAUGAAGUCAACUUGAAUGAAACACAAAGUGAGCACAUCAUGUGACUGACACGUGUUCAUACACCCAGCUAAAUGCUGUUCGA